ACGGUGGAAGCACGAGAGGCCGCCCCCAGCUGCUCAUCUGGAUACCCAGUGCUACCAAACUGCAGUGCAGGUGCUGGGGCACACACAAAAAGUCUGUCAGCCUCGACACGCCAACAGAGACGCGAAACCGAAGCCGGAAAGUGUGCAAGGUGCCCGUGUGGCACACCUGGCAAGGCGCAAGGACAACGCCGCCUAAGCGUUUCGAGAACACCACUUCCUAGUUGUUUUUUCAACAAGCGUACCAGCACGGGGUUUGCUUGCACAUCAACAACUCGUCCGGGGUUACCCGCCCCAGCGAGACCUCCAAACCGCUGUCGCCGUUGCCGUGACCCAACCUCCCAAGGCGCACCGGCUGCUCCACUGCGUUGACAACACCGACUCGUCGCUUUGCAAGCGAGUCGUCGCGCACGCUGCGGGUCAGGUGCAACACGACGUAUUGACCCCGGCUUUUUUCUCAUUGUUUUCCUGCUUCAACCAAGUGACCGGGUCACUGCAAAGCAUGACGAAUAGGGGCGGUUGGACGGCGAAGGGCUCACAAACAGAAGCACUACGCAGUACGAGAAACGACCACAACAACGACAACGAGCAGCGUCGGGCGCGCGAAACCUCUCCUUCCAGCGCUGGGACUGGUCAGACCGUGCCGGUUUUUCAGAGCGCACUCGUUGAGCAGCUCAUGCGCCAACGCUGGACAGAGGUGCUCGCACUCUGGCAACGGCAGAGGCAACAGGCAGAGCGACAGGAAGUGGUCGUUUACAGCGACGCAACACCGGCGUGGAAACAGGCCUCCAAGUCGUUGACGCGGCCACGCUUCCCGGACCUGGUGCAGCAAGGGCUCCAACGUCAGCAGCAAAGCGUCAAGUCACUGGAAGCGGCAGCGUCGCUGACGCCUUGACGCGCUGCGGACUGCGUUCGACGACGGUGCUCGUAAAGCGGCUAGUCGACAACGAUGACGACACUGGGCAACCGCUGAGGCGACUCGGAUACCUAGCGCCUUUCGCGCUGUAGCACUGACCAUGUGUCUGCUUGGAGCGAUACCGCUUUGAAGGGAAUCGUCUGCUCGUUGAAGUACGCUUCAAACUGGGCUCGGAUCGUGAAUGUUCCUUGUCCCGGAGAAUCCUCGCUGUCGAUGCUAAGCAGCGGUGCCUCGUCUCUGCUGUAGCGGUUGCUGUGUUUCAGCGACGGUCUGCGUCUCUCGUGCAUGGUAUGCGAUAGCUCUCGCUGUCCAUCCGUUGCAACAGUGCCGCGGGUCUACGACUACUGCUGCUACUGCUGCAGAUGAUAUGCUCAUCUCAUGCAUCCUUCCUGUUCCGUAGAUGCCAAUCUAUGGCGAAAAUGCAGCGAGCGAGCUGCUGCACCGCUAGACUGCCGCAAGCGUAGAUCGCUCCAAUCCACAGUGGAAUAUGACACCAAACUUCAGGAUGAGCGUAGUGGUACAGAUGGAGCCCAUCAAUGAGCCAGAGUUCGACGAAUGGACCCAGCAUCGCGGUGCUUAUCAUGACGCCAAACUCCGCAGCAGUGGAGCUCUCCAGUACCCAGCACUGAACUGGAAGCAAGCUCGAUAGUACGAGGGCGAUCAUAGCCGUACCCAAGUGUCCGCUGCCGUCUAAAUAAGCGCUCAGCCAGUACUGAAAGGUAAAUAGCGCCACGCCAGCUGCUGUUCGCACGACGAGUUCUGGGCGAAACGGAGUCUGGCGGGACUGGAGUCCCAGACGCGCCAGCAUCGACCCAGCCACGCCAAAGAGAAUCGGUGUCCACCAGGUAAAGCCGACGGCGGUCUGAAAGCCGACGUGAACGUUCCAGUUCACUUUGUGGUACUGGAGUGUACCGUAGGUCGUAUGAAACGCAUCCAACAGCGGUCCAUAUACGGUGCUCAAGAGCGCUGUCAGAAGCACUGCACGAUUGGCUGCACUGCCAGUCUCACAGGGUAGAGAAGGCUCAGUGAUCAGGGGUGUUCUGAGUCUGAAACUUUUAAAAAACGUUGCAUGUCGAUGCUCAUCGCUGCAACAGCGCACCAAA
Molecule: RNA transcript, 2016 nt
Organism: Cyanidioschyzon merolae strain 10D
Lineage: Eukaryota; Rhodophyta; Bangiophyceae; Cyanidiales; Cyanidiaceae
Exons: 1
Source: RefSeq, a predicted model, not a curated record